CCUACGGGAGGCAGCAGUAAGGAAUAUUGGACAAUGCUCGCAAGAGUGAUCCAGCCAUGCCGCGUGCAGGAAGAAUGCCCUAUGGGUAGUAAACUGCUUUUGAACUAGAGAAAACCCCAGUACGUGUACUGGGCUGAUAGUAUAGUUAGAAUAAGCAUCGGCUAACUUCGUGCCAGCAGCCGCGGUAAGACGAAGGAUGCAAGCGUUAUCCGGAUUCAUUGGGUUUAAAGGGAGCGUAGGUGGACUGAUAAGUCAGUGGUGAAAUCUCCGAGCUUAACUCGGAAAUUGCCAUUGAUACUGUUGGUCUUGAGUACAGUUGCUGUGGGCGGAAUAUGACAUGUAGUGGUGAAAUACAUAGAGAUGUCAUAGAACACCGAUUGCGAAGGCAGCUCACAAAGCUGUAACUGACACUGAGGCUCGAAAGUGCGGGGAUCAAACAGGAUUAGAUACCCUGGUAGUCCGCACCGUAAACGAUGAUUACUCGCUGCUAGGGGGCAACCUUUAGUGGCUUAGCGAAAGCGAUAAGUAAUCCACCUGGGGAGUACGCCGGCAACGGUGAAACGUUAAAUGAAUUGACCGGNGUUGAGACGNGCGAGGACGACACGAGGGGAGGAGG
This 616-nucleotide ribosomal RNA is filed under the name uncultured bacterium. RNAcentral's name for it is "bacterial SSU rRNA". It matches the Rfam family "Bacterial small subunit ribosomal RNA", at positions 338 to 956 of the family's 1533-position model. The record is from RNAcentral.